AUGCUCGCUUUGGCAGCACAUAUACUAAAACUGGAACGAUACAGAGGUUAGCAUGGCCCCUGACCAAGGAUGACACGCAAAUUCAUGAAGUAGUGUGUAUAUGU
Molecule: small nuclear RNA, 104 nt
Organism: Dipodomys ordii (Ord's kangaroo rat)
Lineage: Eukaryota; Metazoa; Chordata; Mammalia; Rodentia; Heteromyidae
Source: Ensembl